RNAcentral lists this ribosomal RNA (393 nucleotides) under uncultured bacterium. RNAcentral describes it as "partial 16S ribosomal RNA". It matches the Rfam family "Bacterial small subunit ribosomal RNA", at positions 523 to 918 of the family's 1533-position model. The record is from RNAcentral.
AUACGGAAGGUCCGGGCGUUAUCCGGAUUUAUUGGGUUUAAAGGGAGCGCAGGCGGAGAUGCAAGCGUGACGUCAAAUUUCGGGGCUCAACCCCGUCUCGCGUCGCGAACUGCGUCCCUUGGUUGCGGGAAGGGGAGGCGGCACUCGGGGUGUAGCGGGGAAAUGCAUAGAUAUCACGAAGAACUCCGAUCGCGAAGGCAGCCUUCCGGCCCGUCAACGACGCUCAUGCUCGAAGGUGCGGGUAUCAAACAGGAUUAGAUACCCUGGUAGUCCGCACAGUAAACGAUGGACACCCGCGGUUUGGCCUGUAUGGCUGAGCCGCCAAGCGAAAGCGUUAAGUGUCCCACCUGGGGAGUACGCCGGCAACGGUGAAACUCAAAGGAAUUGACGGGG